GAUGAAGAACGUAGCGAAAUGCGAUAAGUAGUGUGAAUUGCAGAAUUCAGUGAAUCAUCGAAUCUUUGAACGCACAUUGCGGCCAUAGGUAUUCCUUUGGCCAUGCCUGUUCGAGCGUCAUUUACACCCUCAAGCCUAGCUUGGUGUUGGGCGUCUGUCCCGCCGUUCUCGCGCGCGGACUCGCCUCAAAGUCAUUGGCGGCGGUCGUGCCGGCCCCCUCGCGCAGCACAUUUGCGCUUCUCGGAGGCCCGGCGGAUCCGCGCUCCAGCAAGACCUUUCACGACUUGACCUCGGAUCAGGUAGGGAUACCCGCUGAACUUAAGCAUAUUCAAUAAGCGGAGGA
Molecule: unclassified non-coding RNA, 343 nt
Filed under: soil metagenome
Description: partial contains 5.8S ribosomal RNA, internal transcribed spacer 2, and large subunit ribosomal RNA
Rfam family: 5.8S ribosomal RNA (bases 1-120)
Source: RNAcentral